UAUUAUUUUAAAUGUAAAAUACUAAUACUUGAGUAGUAAGAGUUAUGGUCUUGAAACUCAAAGAAUUUGGCGGUGUUUUAGUCCUUUCAGAGGAACCUGUCCUAUAAUCGAUAUUCCACGUUAGAUCUUACUUAAUUUGGUUAUUCAGUUUGUAUACCGCCGUCGUCAGAAUGUCCUAUAAGGGUAUAAAUUUUCUUUAAUUUAAAUAUUGAAAAGAUGUCAGGUCAAGGUGCAGUUAAUGGUUAAGUAGAGGUGGGUUACAAUAAAUUUAUUUAUUACGGAUAAUUAAUUGGAAUAUUAAUUUGAAGGUGGAUUUGAAAGUAAUUUUAUAUAGUAUAGUAUAUUGAUUUUGGCUCUAAAACAUGCACACAUCGCCCGUCGCUCUCGUUAAUUAAUAU
RNAcentral lists this ribosomal RNA (398 nucleotides) under Perlodes mortoni. RNAcentral's name for it is "partial 12S ribosomal RNA". It matches the Rfam family "Microsporidia small subunit ribosomal RNA", at positions 752 to 1218 of the family's 1311-position model. The record is from RNAcentral. Lineage: Eukaryota; Metazoa; Arthropoda; Insecta; Plecoptera; Perlodidae.